Non-coding RNA from Taeniopygia guttata (zebra finch), 6948 nucleotides. NCBI's taxonomy places the organism in Eukaryota, Metazoa, Chordata, Aves, Passeriformes, Estrildidae. The record is from RefSeq and is a predicted model, not a curated record.
CUGGGGCUUCGCCUGCAAGCUUAUUACCUCUCAUCUGAAAGCUGCUCCAUUUCCUCACACAUCGGGUAAGUCCUUUAUCAUGAGGUGGCACAAGCCCUGCCGGGGGCUAUUGGUCGCCCCGAGGAAGGAGCCGGGAUGGCAAGCGGGAUCCUAUCAUCAGACUGCAUAAUAACCCCGGGCUCGCCACAGCUGCGCUGUGACCCUUUGUGAUGGAGCUGAUAGCGCUCCCGUGAAAUAAUGUCCUCCUUUUGGGUGUGAAAUCACCAUGUUUAUUAAUUGAGCUAGACAUGAGGGUUACCUUUUUCUUUCCAAGCCAUGAAAAUUUGUGAUUCAGGGCAAAUGGUUACCCCUUCCCCCCCAAGUUGUGUUGUCAAGGGGUUGAGAGAGAAGGACCAGCUGGGAAGAAGAGCUAGUUUGGAGGGUCGAGAGGGACUGAGCUUUACGGCAAGUUCAGAGUAGAUUCAUGCACAGACACCCUACACCUCGCUCAACCGCAAAAGCAACCCUCCACUCCGGGCAAGCACCGCAGGCAAAUACCAAACUCAUUCCCAAAGGAUGGAAGCCGGAGUGGGGAGGGAUGCGCACGGCGCACCCUACCCUGGCCGUCCUGCGUGGGGAUGCGCGGCUCCCCACGCCGCGGUUACCGCGCAUCCCCACGCACGCACUUUAGGAGGUGGGUCGUGCCGAAACAGUACGGCGUCUCUCUCCACGCGCACUUUUUUUUUUUUUUUUUUUUCUUUGCAAUUAGGCUUGUAACGAGCUUAUGUGCUUCUGGGCCAAUAAUACUUGUAUUUAACCUAAUUAAAGCCGACCUUUUAAAAGAUCUGAAAUAUAAACACGCCUUUUUUCUUUUUUUUUUUUUUUUCCCGCUUCCCCCUCCUUUCCUACUCUGGUUUAACAAUUUAACGUUUGACUCCCUGGGCUGGAACAUGCAACCUCUCACCAGAGCACGGAGAGAGGGAGGGGGAAAGUAGCAAAAACCUGCGAAUGAGCCAGAGGGACUGGCUUUGCCCGAGCAUCUGCGACACGCUUCCAGACAGAGCAACCUCAGCCCGGUGCCGCUUUUGUUCCCGGUGGAGAGACCCGGUCUGGCUCGGCUCGGCCCGCCGGGUCUGCGGGGAGCUCGGUCCUCCCCUCCCUCCUCUCGCCGGAACGGGGACGUGAUAAAAGGAGACAGGGCUCUGAAAGGAUUUGAUUGAAAUGGCGUGUGCCAAGCUGAUGGGAGCCAGCGAGGGACAAAGCACCGAGGAGCCAUGGACACUCGAGCAAUUAUUCCUCCACGCUGAAGGUGGAUUAGUGCAAUGGAAAGAAGCAUAUGUUCGGCCUGGGGCGACACUCCCCCUGGCUGGGUUUAGAGAAUGAGAGAGGAGAAAGAGGCUGAACCUGGAAUAUCAACUAUCCGGGAGACAGCCCACCCCACCCCCUCUUAUCCCAGCCUCUCCAAAAGUCUCAGGGAUGGAGACAUAAAUACACACACCCAUGAAGAGAAAUAGAUAGAUACGAACAAACAGGCAAACACCCAAAAAUACAGAUGAACACACACCUCUAGGUACAGCUGCAUGUGCACACAGUACUGGCACACCAGCUCUGCACAGACAGGCAGGAGCAAGAGGCAUCCUAGGUGAAAAACCUCCCUGGGUACAACAAUGUGAACAAUUAAACAGUCAGCCUCCAAGAAGGUCAUAGCAGCAGCCAGUUCUGCUGGAGGCUCCAGUUUCCUCAGACCUUUCCCAAGAAACUUUCCAAAAGCAGCUGCAGCAAGGAAUGGGUGAUCUUCAUACCCCCUACCAGAGCCAUAUCCAGGCCCUCCUGGAAACACAAAGCAAAACCUCAGUUGCCCCUUUUCAAUCUGAUUUUCUUCUAAGCCAUAGCCACCUCCUGUUUUCUUUCCCUUUCCCUAGCUUCCUGCAAAACCUCAUCCUUUUCAGCAGGAUAGCUGCAAGCUCUCCCAAGGGCAUGAGGAUGGGAAGAAACCCCAGCAGCCAGCCCCUGUCAGCCCCCAUCCCAAACAUCAGCAUGCCAGGAUGCUCAUCAAGGCUCCCUGGCAAUGGGACACCCGUCAGCUGCUGUCCUGGAUCAUCUACAGCCAUACACAGGCUCCAAAACUCAGGCAGGCAUAGCAGGAGCACAUUUUUAGCACUAGUAAAGUGUAGCUCGCUAGGCCUAAUGAGGAAAAAGAGCACUGAGGCCAGGCACAGCCCCUGCUUUCCUCCCAGCACUGCCCCACUGGUCUCCCCUGGUCUGGGCACACCAGCACAUGCCACAGUGUUGGGUGUCCCCCCAGCUGUUCUCCAAGCCAUCCCACUUUACAGGGCAGAGAGAUGAGCUCCGCCACAGGAGAGGAGGAGACAGGAUAAGCACAGGCAACAGCAUCCAGCAGCAAGGUAGAGGGCAAGGAGGACAAGCUGGAGGGAAAGGUGCCUGCCAGAAAACUUUAAUGGUAGGGAGGGAGAAAAAAGGAAGAAAAGGGAAUUUCAGCUCUUCCCUUCUCCUGGGAGCCCCAAAAAUGCUCUGUUCUACAAUGAGAAAUGUGUCCCAUAUAUUUCACAUCUCUGCUUGUUGACCCUUAACUUUUGGGAUCAGGAUGGAUCAUACACAGAGAGGAGGGGGCCAGCUCUGCCCAAAGCAGUGCUGAGGCAAGAAGUUCUGUGGGAUGAACAAGCAGGUAGGAACAUAACCAAAAACAUUGUAUAGAAGCAACGUACAUCCCUCAACUUGCAAGUGUAACUGCACGGCUCACACUCCCACAAGGAAACAGCGCUCCAUUCAGAACCCCUGUAUCUGCUUUUAGUCAAGUAUUACAGAGAGAACUAACCAUACCACAGGCAACAACAGCAGUGGGGCUUAGGAACGUCUCUGGACAGAAAAGAUCUCCUAUAGAAAUAGGAUAUGUGUGUAUGUGCACACAACAUGUUCAAGGAACAAGAUGGUGAAAUGGCUUGCACUUCACACCUGACAGUCUUCCACCUUCCUGCUGAACACAAGACAACUUUUUCCUCACCUAGGCUAUGCUUCCCCAGUUUACCCUUGCCCUGGUUUGAAGAUCUGCUGUGCAAAUGAGCUCUGUGACUGCAAACAGGACAAUAACCAUGGAGCUUGGAGUAACCUCAGGUCCCUGGUUUUGAGAGGGAGGGACUCAUGGAGAAACCACAGGCUCUGGGUGCCAGCAUGUGCCUUGCAAAAUCAGAGCCUGAAAGAAAAGUGCCACAGGGAACAAGCAGAUCCCUCCUACACUACCAGAAAUCUCUCAGUAGUCUUACCCUGAUUUCCACACUACAUUCACUCGGUGAAGGUGCUCUAACUGCUCUGUUGGUAUGAUAAAAAUUUUGGGCCACCAAAGUUAAACUCAGCUUAAGAGAGAUAUGACUACAGUUGUUGUAAGAGGAAAUAAAAUAUCACAGAUUUGUCACCUUCUUAUCUACAGCACCAGAAAGGAGUAACAGCUCAAGGAUACAAAUAUUUGCCACCAUCAUGAGCUAUAUAUCUCUUUGCCCUGCCUGAAACAUCAGCUGUUUCAGUCACCCAAGAAAGCCUAGCAACUUUAACUGGAAGAAGAAAAACAAGGCUAUUUUGUUAUUCUGAAGCCAGUAAGGCUUUGCUAGUGAUGUGUCAUAAAAUACUUCCACUUUUCCUCUGUUUCUAAACACUUGCUUUAAACUACUUCUUUUUGGGAGUUUGGAGUUACUAAACUAAAUACUGCAAAUGGAGAGGCUGCAGCCUGUGCAGAAUAAAUGAUUUAAGAACUGGGCUUGGCUGAUUUAUUUUUUCCCUCUGUAUUGGAGAUAAAAAGAAGGAACACAUUCUAGUAAUCCCUACUCAUUUUCACAGCCAUUCUUGCACCUGUAACUCAAAUAAUGAAGCCAUUUGUUAUUUAUAUUGCACUUUCCCCUCCAUUCUAGAUUUCUAACGAUCUGACCCUGCUUUAUGGCCCUGACAAAGCCUGAAACCGGUGUGGACUUCAAAUAAUUGAACGAUAUAAGGAAAAAUCUUUAACUGGAAUGAAGCAGAUGUUAGCUUCAUGCAGUUCCCUAACUUGAUUAUUCUUUGGCCAUGUUAGACAAGCAUUAGUGAUUGAUAAUGAUGCUAAUUAACCCUUUUCCUUUCCAAAACAGUAAACCAAUGCCAGCAGGAUUCUGCAAACAACACACAAAAAGUGUAUACCAGUAUCUGUUCAAAGUGGAUCAGGGACACAACUUCAUUGCCUGAUGCUCGACAAAAACCUUAUCCUGCUGACACCAAGCUGGCUCCAAAUCCUCUCAAGGAGUUAUCAGCUCCAGCUGCUUGCAGGGCAGGGAGCAGAGACAUAGCUCUUUCAUGCAGAAAAGGUGCACGGGACAAAAUCAAAGGCACCAUUUAUUUUUUUAUACUCCCAACCUUUCACGUUAGAUUAUGAAGCCAAUUUAAAUCACUGUGCCCUCACUAGCUGGGAUGGACUUCAUGCUGAUCCCUGUUGGAAGGGCACUAGUUAUUUUAGCUACACUUUCCUAACAUGUGAGUUGAGGCUCUGGGAAUCUGAUCUGGGCUGAGAUAUUCAUGUACCAAGCAGGGAGUGCACAUUGUGGAAUUUAAAUGGGAGGUAGAAGACAAGUAAACAAACAAGGAGCUGAUCUGAUUAUACAGUCGAAUUUAUCAUGGACAAUAAAGAAAUUGCCUUUAAAUGUAAGGGUUUGGAUAAAUGAAUACUCCUAGCAAGUGAAUAAAAUGUAUUCAAUUAACUAAAAACCUUGUGCACUUCUGAACUGAAGUGGAAUCGACUGUAAUUGAUUUAUUUGAAACCAGAGGUUAAGGACUGAAUUAGCUAAGUACAACUGGGUAUUUCAAGCCACUGACUUCUCAAAUGUCAAAUCUCUUCUAUUUUAAAUAUUAUUUCAGCUGCGGGGCAUUGCUGUCCUGAUGGCUGUUCCACCAGUUAAAUCUCAAAUUAUAUUAAUAUUUGAUUUUUGGAGGGUGGGGUAAAAUACGGUACAAAGAGGAGGGCUGUCCUUAUUCACGGUGAAAGAGCACCAAGCUGUAUUUUGGUUCACAUGUAGGAAUUAGCUCAGCGUGGCAGCAACACUCUAACAUUCAGCCACCACUCACCCUCGCUUCAACCGAUCUGGGGCGGGGGGGAAAAUAACAACAGAUUUUUGUUUAGUGUAUAAAAGCAUGACCUAGAAUUUCACUGCUGCAUCUCGAUCACAAUAUUAAAAAUGCAUCCAAAGAAUGCUGAAGUAAUUAGCACAUUUUAGUAAAUGAACACUGGUCGCAGCGAAAAGAGGCUGAACCGAACCUAGUCUGAUUUCCAUUAUCGCCUGUAAAAUCCUUCCUUAGAAAUAACAGUAAUAAAGAAAUCUGUGCAAGGUCAUUUCAUUUCUGUUUUUUGGUGGCUUGCUAAUCCAGCAGCAGAAUACCUAAUAUGCACUCUCCUACCAUGAAGUAGCUAAUUAUAUGUUUAAAACAUUAUUUAUUAUGACCUUAUAAUGUUCUAGCAAAAGACUGCUUUAUACAUUGACCAGUAUAAAACGAUUAUAUUGGGUACAGGUUUCAAAAAGUAACAAGCAUCUGUAAAUCCAGAUAUGAAUGAAUGGUAUUUAAUAAGAUUGUUUUCGUUUAAAAAUGAGUAUUUAUGUGUUGCUGUAGAAAGAGCAGCAAUGUAUUGCUGUUUAUGAAUGCUAUUGUGCCUGAGGUUAGGAUCCCACACACAAUCUGAGAUGCAGCCAAGAAAAACAGCCCUGAUAGACAAUGCUUCACUUCACCUGCUACAAUACUGUGCAUUUCAUUUAUGUCAAGAAUAUGUACAGUUAGGGUUCAUUCACCUCAUUAUUUUGUUACAUCUACUUUACGGUUAACCAGUCUCUCUUGGAAAUAAUAAAUAACUGUUUUUAAAACAAUUGCAGCUUUGCAUUCAAAAGAUCCACUUUCAAUUUAUAGAAAAAAAAUAUUCACCAUUUUUAUAAACUAGCUGGCUCACGAAAAUAGAAUUUAGAUUCCACCAACUCUCUUUCUGCUUGGCAAGAUUGAUUUUACACUGCCUUCCAUAAGUAGAUUACCAAAGCAAAAUGAAACAUCUUGGGCUUUAUCUAAUGCUUUGCUUCACCAGCUCUACCAAACGUCAAAAUAUAUGAGUAAAUGUUAAUUCUCUGUGCAGCUUUAUUGUAAACACCUCCCUCAUAACCUCCUCAAUUUCUGCCUAAGAGAAAAGGGGAAAAAAGGGAGAGAGAGAGUGUCAGGGAGGGAAGGAAAGAGAAAAAUCAGUCUCCACUACUAGAAUACUAGCAACACUUAAAGGAGACCCUCUCUUUAAAAUGCCUUUACAUUCUAAACUGUUAGGGAGACAUUAAGUCUCCCUUCCUAUGAUAUAACAUAAUCCAGCCUGAUCCUGACUUCACCUACCCCGCGGGCCAAAGAAAAUAGAUUCAAAAUCAGAAUUCUCACAUAUUUUUAUAGACCAUCUUCAAGACAUACACUCCAUGUUUUUAAAGCUAACUUCCCUGUUUCACAACUGGUUUCCACAAGAAGAAACUCAGGAUAAAAAUUUCAGUCCCUCAUAAACUGACACAGCCAUCUCAAAAUGUCAGUCUGUGCGUUCCACUAAAACACGAACCAUCAAUCAGAAAUAAUCUGUCUCCUGCAAGAUUUCACUAAAGUUCACAACCGUGAGAUGAUUUUCUUGGCAUCAACUACGGAGCUUUUCUUUUUUCUUGAGGGGGAGGGAGCACCCAGCUCUGAUUUAUCAGUAUAAAUUUUUUUUCACAGCAAUAAUUUUCAGUUUUUUCUAAGUAAUGAUUCUUUUUAAAAUGUCCUUCUAGAGACGUGUUUUUUAAUCUCUGCUCUCUGUUAGGACUACAUGUACAAAAUUUUAUAGGCUUAUAAUUCUGUAUGCUAUAUAGAAACAUAAAUAAAAACCUAGAGGUCAACAUAAAUAAAAUAAAACUUUUAUUUUUUAAAUAAAAUUAUGUUUUGGUUAAA